Molecule: ribosomal RNA, 498 nt
Filed under: Conothele taiwanensis
Lineage: Eukaryota; Metazoa; Arthropoda; Arachnida; Araneae; Ctenizidae
Description: partial 16S ribosomal RNA
Rfam family: Bacterial large subunit ribosomal RNA
Source: RNAcentral
GAGCUCCCAUGGCGCCUGUUUAUCAAAAACAUUGCUAUUUGUUUAAUAAAUAGUAACACCUGCCCAAUGAUUCUUUAAAUAGCCGCAAUAAUUUGUGCUAAGGUAGCAUAAUCAAUUGCCUUAUAAUUAAAGGCUAGAAUGAAAGGUUUUACAUAUUGAAUCCUUUAUUACUAUAACUUCUUUAAAUUCUUAUGAAAGUAAAAAAACUUCUCAUAAAAUAGGGGGACGACAAGACCCUAUCGAACUUAACAUAAAGUUUCACUGGGGCGGUGAAUUAAAUAUAACUUUUCAAUUUCUCAUAUUAAAAAAUAAAGAAAUAAUAGAGAACAAGUUACCGUAGGGAUAACAGCACAAUUUUCUUUCGGAGACCUUAUCUUAAAGAAAGAUUAUGACCUCGAUGUUGAAUUAAAUCUCCUUUUAGUGAAGAAGCUUUAAAGGAAAGUCUGUUCGACUUUCAAAAAUUUACGUGAUCUGAGUUCAGACCGGCCAUGGGAGCUC